RNAcentral lists this ribosomal RNA (248 nucleotides) under uncultured bacterium. RNAcentral's name for it is "partial 16S ribosomal RNA". It matches the Rfam family "Bacterial small subunit ribosomal RNA", at positions 523 to 769 of the family's 1533-position model. The record is from RNAcentral.
AUACGGAAGGGGGCUAGCGUUGCUCGGAAUGACUGGGCGUAAAGGGCGUGUAGGCGGUUUGUACAGUCAGAUGUGAAAUCCCCGGGCUUAACCUGGGAGCUGCAUUUGAUACGUGCAGACUAGAGUGUGAGAGAGGGUUGUGGAAUUCCCAGUGUAGAGGUGAAAUUCGUAGAUAUUGGGAAGAACACCGGUGGCGAAGGCGGCAACCUGGCUCAUGACUGACGCUGAGGCGCGAAAGCGUGGGGAGC